GUGGGGAAUAUUGGACAAUGGGCGAAAGCCUGAUCCAGCCAUGCCGCGUGUGUGAAGAAGGUCUUCGGAUUGUAAAGCACUUUAAGUUGGGAGGAAGGGCAGUAAGUUAAUACCUUGCUGUUUUGACGUUACCGACAGAAUAAGCACCGGCUAACUUCGUGCCAGCAGCCGCGGUAAUACGAAGGGUGCAAGCGUUAAUCGGAAUUACUGGGCGUAAAGCGCGCAGAGGUGGUUUUGUAAGUUGGAGGUGAAAUCCCCGGGCUCAACCUGGGAACUGCCUCCAAAACUGCAUGACUAGAGGACGGUAGAGGGUAGUGGAAUUUCCUGUGUAGCGGUGAAAUGCGUAGAUAUAGGAAGGAACACCAGUGGCGAAGGCGACUACCUGGACUGAUACUGACACUGAGGUGCGAAAGCGUGGGGAGCAAACAGGAUUAGAAACCCCAGUAGUCC
RNAcentral lists this ribosomal RNA (450 nucleotides) under uncultured bacterium. RNAcentral's name for it is "bacterial SSU rRNA". It matches the Rfam family "Bacterial small subunit ribosomal RNA", at positions 354 to 796 of the family's 1533-position model. The record is from RNAcentral.